GACGAACGCUGGCGGCGUGCUUAACACAUGCAAGUCGAACGGAAAGGCCCUGCUUUUGUGGGGUGCUCGAGUGGCGAACGGGUGAGUAACACGUGAGUAACCUGCCCUUGACUUGGGGAUAACUUCAGGAAACUGGGGCUAAUACCGGAUAGGAGCUCCUGCUGCAUGGUGGGGGUUGGAAAGUUUCGGCGGUUGGGGAUGGACUCGCGGCUUAUUAGCUUGUUGGUGGGGUAGUGGCUUACCAAGGCUUUGACGGGUAGCCGGCCUGAGAGGGUGACCGGCGACAUUGGGACUAGGAUACGGCGCAGACUCGUACGGGAGGCAGCAGUGGGGAAGAUUACACAAUGGACGGAAGCCUGAGGCAGAAACGCCGCGUGCUGGAUGACGGCCUUCGCGUUAUAAACCGAUUUCGCCUGUGACGAAGCGUGAGUGACGGUAAUGGGUAAAGAAGCACCGGCUAACUACGUG
This 468-nucleotide ribosomal RNA is filed under the name uncultured bacterium. RNAcentral describes it as "partial 16S ribosomal RNA". It matches the Rfam family "Bacterial small subunit ribosomal RNA", at positions 28 to 507 of the family's 1533-position model. The record is from RNAcentral.